GACGAACGCUGGCGGCGUGCUUAACACAUGCAAGUCGAACGGAAAGGCCCUGCUUUUGUGGGGUGCUCGAGUGGCGAACGGGUGAGUAACACGUGAGUAACCUGCCCUUGACUUUGGGAUAACUUCAGGAAACUGGGGCUAAUACCGGAUAGGAGCUCCUGCUGCAUGGUGGGGGUUGGAAAGUUUCGGCGGUUGGGGCUGGACUCGCGGCUUAUCAGCUUGUUGGUGGGGUAGUGGCUUACCAAGGCUUUGACGGGUAGCCGGCCUGAGAGGGUGACCGGCCACAAUGGGACUGAGGUACGGCACAGACUCCUACGGGAGGCAGCAGUGGGGAAUAUUGCACAAUGGGCGGAAGCCUGAUGCAGCAACGCCGCGUGCGGGAUGCCGGCCUUCGGGUUGUAAACUGAUUUCGCCUGUGACGAAGAGUGAGUGACGGUAAUGGGUAAAGAAGCACCGGCUAACUACGUG
This 468-nucleotide ribosomal RNA is filed under the name uncultured bacterium. Its description in RNAcentral is "partial 16S ribosomal RNA". It matches the Rfam family "Bacterial small subunit ribosomal RNA", at positions 28 to 507 of the family's 1533-position model. The record is from RNAcentral.